RNAcentral lists this ribosomal RNA (467 nucleotides) under uncultured bacterium. RNAcentral's name for it is "bacterial SSU rRNA". It matches the Rfam family "Bacterial small subunit ribosomal RNA", at positions 28 to 507 of the family's 1533-position model. The record is from RNAcentral.
GACGAACGCUGGCGGCGUGCUUAACACAUGCAAGUCGAGCGGUAAGGCUCCUUCGGGAGUACACGAGCGGCGAACGGGUGAGUAACACGUGAGUAACCUGCCCCAAUCAUCGGGAUAACCAUUGGAAACGAUGGCUAAUACCGAAUACGACCACCGAAGGCAUCUUCUGGUGGUGGAAAGCUCCGGCGGAUUGGGAUGGACUCGCGGCCUAUCAGCUUGUUGGUGAGGUAAUGGCUCACCAAGGCAACGACGGGUAGCCGGCCUGAGAGGGUGACCGGCCACACUGGGACUGAGACACGGCCCAGACUCCUACGGGAGGCAGCAGUAGGGAAUAUUGCGCAAUGGGCGGAAGCCUGACGCAGCGACGCCGCGUGAGCGAAGAAGGCCUUCGGUCGUAAGCUCUGUCCUUGGGAAGAAGGCGAAAGCUUGACGGUACCCAAGAAGAAAGACCCCGGCGUAACUACGUG